GACGAACGCUGGCGGCGUGCUUAACACAUGCAAGUCGAACGGUAAGGCCCUUCGAGGUACACGAGCGGCGAACGGGUGAGUAACACGUGAGCAAUCUGCCCUUCACACGGGGAUAACUCCGGGAAACCGAAGCUAAUACCCGAUACGACCACCCCAGGCAUCUGAUGGUGGUGGAAAGUUCCGGCGGUGAAGGAUGAGCUCGCGGCCUAUCAGCUUGUUGGUGGGGUAACGGCCCACCACGGCAACGACGGGUAGCCGGCCUGAGAGGGUGACCGGCCACGCUGGGACUGGGACACGGCCCAGACUCCUACGGGAGGCAGCAGUGGGGAAUAUUGGACAAUGGGCGAAAGCCUGAUCCAGCAACGCCGCGUGAGGGAUGACGGCCUUCGGGUUGUAAACCUCUUUCAGCAGGGACGAAGCGCAAGUGACGGUACCUGCAGAAGAAGCACCGGCCAACUACGUGCCAGCAGCCGCAGUAA
This 479-nucleotide ribosomal RNA is filed under the name uncultured bacterium. RNAcentral's name for it is "partial 16S ribosomal RNA". It matches the Rfam family "Bacterial small subunit ribosomal RNA", at positions 28 to 523 of the family's 1533-position model. The record is from RNAcentral.